Molecule: ribosomal RNA, 497 nt
Filed under: uncultured bacterium
Lineage: Bacteria
Description: partial 16S ribosomal RNA
Rfam family: Bacterial small subunit ribosomal RNA
Source: RNAcentral
GAUGAACGCUGGCGGCGUGCCUAAUACAUGCAAGUCGAGCGAACGGACGAGAAGCUUGCUUCUCUGAUGUUAGCGGCGGACGGGUGUGUAACACGUGGAUAACCUACCUAUAAGACUGGGAUAACUUCGGGAAACCGGAGCUAAUACCGGAUGAUAUUUUGAACCGCAUGGUUCAAAAGUGAAAGACGGUCUUGCUGUCACUUAUAGAUGGAUCCGCGCUGCAUUAGCUAGUUGGUAAGGUAACGGCUUACCAAGGCAACGAUGCAUAGCCGACCUGAGAGGGUGAUCGGCCACACUGGAACUGAGACACGGUCCAGACUCCUACGGGAGGCAGCAGUAGGGAAUCUUCCGCAAAGGGCGAAAGCCUGACGGAGCAACGCCGCGUGAGUGAUGAAGGUCUUCGGAUCGUAAAACUCUGUUAUUAGGGAAGAACAUAUGUGUAAGUAACUGUGCACACCUUGACGGUACCUAAUCAGAAAGCCACGGCUAACUACGUG